UACGUAGGGGGCGAGCGUUGUCCGGAUUUACUGGGUGUAAAGGGCGUGUAGCCGGGCUGACAAGUCAGAUGUGAAAUCCGGGGGCUCAACCCCCGAACUGCAUUUGAAACUGUUGGUCUUGAGUAUCGGAGAGGCAGGCGGAAUUCCUAGUGUAGCGGUGAAAUGCGUAGAUAUUAGGAGGAACACCAGUGGCGAAGGCGGCCUACUGGACGGUGACUGACGCUGAGGCUCGAAAGCGUGGGGAGCAAACAGG
Molecule: ribosomal RNA, 253 nt
Filed under: uncultured bacterium
Lineage: Bacteria
Description: partial 16S ribosomal RNA
Rfam family: Bacterial small subunit ribosomal RNA
Source: RNAcentral